AGCGAACGCUGGCGGCAGGCCUAACACAUGCAAGUCGAACGAACCUUUCGGGGUUAGUGGCGGACGGGUGAGUAACACGUGGGAACGUGCCUUUAGGUUCGGAAUAACUCAGGGAAACUUGUGCUAAUACCGAAUGUGCCCUUCGGGGGAAAGAUUUAUCGCCUUUAGAGCGGCCCGCGUCUGAUUAGCUAGUUGGUUGAGGUAAUGGCACACCAAGGCGACGAUCAGUGGCUGGUCUGAGAGGAUGAUCAGCCACAUUGGGACUGAGACACGGCCCAAACUCCUACGGGAGGCAGCAGUGGGGAAUCUUGCGCAAUGGGCGAAAGCCUGACGCAGCCAUGCCGCGUGAAUGAUGAAGGUCUUAGGAUUGUAAAAUUCUUUCACCGGGGACGAUAAUGACGGUACCCGGAGAAGAAGCCCCGGCUAACUUCGUG
Molecule: ribosomal RNA, 434 nt
Filed under: uncultured bacterium
Lineage: Bacteria
Description: partial 16S ribosomal RNA
Rfam family: Bacterial small subunit ribosomal RNA
Source: RNAcentral